This 76-nucleotide transfer RNA is filed under the name Trichonephila clavipes. RNAcentral's name for it is "tRNA-Thr". The record is from RNAcentral. Lineage: Eukaryota; Metazoa; Arthropoda; Arachnida; Araneae; Nephilidae.
GUCGCCCAACCAGUAUGGUAACUAUGACUUUCGGCUUGUAACCGAAUGGGUUCGGGUUCGAAUCCCGAGUAAGACU